This 327-nucleotide ribosomal RNA is filed under the name uncultured eukaryote. RNAcentral's name for it is "partial 18S ribosomal RNA". It matches the Rfam family "Eukaryotic small subunit ribosomal RNA", at positions 1470 to 1796 of the family's 1831-position model. The record is from RNAcentral.
CCCUUAGAUGUUCUGGGCCGCACGCGUGCUACACUGAGUGGAUCAGCGGGUCAGGUUGCGCGAAAGCGUUUCCUAAUCUUUAAAUCCGCUCGUGAUGGGGAUUGACGGUUGCAAUUUUCUGUCAUGAACGAGGAAUACCUUGUAAGCGCGGGUCAUCAUCCCGCGCUGAAUACGUCCCUGCCCUUUGUACACACCGCCCGUCGCUCCUACCGAUUGAGUGGUCCGGUGAGGGCCUCGGAUUGGUCUCGGUCUGGCGUGCAAGCGCCGGCACCGUUGGCCGAGAAGACGCUCGAACUCGAUCGCUUGGAGAAAGUAAAAGUCGUAACA